GACGAACGCUGGCGGCGUGCUUAACACAUGCAAGUCGAACGGAAAGGCCCUGCUUUUGUGGGGUGCUCGAGUGGCGAACGGGUGAGCAACACGUGAGUAACCUGCCCUUGACUUUGGGAUAACUUCAGGAAACUGGGGCUAAUACCGGAUAGGAGCUCCUGCUGCAUGGUGGGGGUUGGAAAGUUUCGGCGGUUGGGGAUGGACUCGCGGCUUAUCAGCUUGUUGGUGGGGUAGUGGCUUACCAAGGCCUUGACGGGUAGCCGGCCUGAGAGGGUGACCGGCCACAUUGGGACUGAGAUACGGCCCAGACUCCUACGGGAGGCAGCAGUGGGGAAUAUUGCACAAUGGGCGGAAGCCUGAUGCAGCAACGCCGCGUGCGGGAUGACGGCCUUCGGGUUGUAAACCGCUUUCGCCUGUGACGAAGCGUGAGUGACGGUAAUGGGUAAAGAAGCACCGGCUAACUACGUG
Molecule: ribosomal RNA, 468 nt
Filed under: uncultured bacterium
Lineage: Bacteria
Description: partial 16S ribosomal RNA
Rfam family: Bacterial small subunit ribosomal RNA
Source: RNAcentral